CAGACGAUGCGUCAUGCAUAUCAAUAAGCGGAGGAAAAGAAACUAACAAGGAUUCCCUUAGUAACGGCGAGUGAAGCGGGAAGAGCUCAAAUUUGAAAUCUUCAAGGUUUUACCUUGACGAAUUGUAGUUUAAAGAAGUGUUUUCUGUUGAAGUUUCGGUAAAAGUUCUUUGGAAUAGGACAUCAUAGAGGGUGAGAAUCCCGUAUUUGACCAUUAUUUUCAGCUGUGUGAUACACUUUCAAAGAGUCGGAUUGUUUGGGAAUGCAGUCCAAAAUGGGUGGUAAAUUUCAUCUAAAGCUAAAUAUUGGCGAGAGACCGAUAGCGAACAAGUACCGUGAGGGAAAGAUGAAAAGAACUUUGAAAAGAGAGUUAAACAGUACGUGAAAUUGUCAAAAGGGAAGCGUUUGACACCAGUGUUGUUUUCUCGAAAAUCAAUUAAAAAGAGUUGGAUUUUGUGUUGUAUUGACCUUAACAGCUUGCUUCACUCUUUUCCUGCUUUUUUUAAUGCACUUUUCGUUUAACAAGUCAACAUCAGUUUCUUUUGUUGUAAAAGGGUCAUUGGAAGGUGGCUUUCUCUUCGGAGAAAGUGUUUAUAGCCUUUGAUCUCUGCAAUCGGAGAGACUGAGGUCUGCAGCGUAGAUCCUUCGGGGUUAGAUACAUUUGUGCUAAGCUACAGCUUUUCAUAGACAACUUGUUGACUAUGUUUAGUCUUGUAACUUACUCGCUUAUGCUAUUUUACCUACGCUUAGGAUGUUGAUAUGCAUGACUGAUAU
RNAcentral lists this ribosomal RNA (773 nucleotides) under uncultured Neocallimastigales. RNAcentral describes it as "partial large subunit ribosomal RNA". It matches the Rfam family "Eukaryotic large subunit ribosomal RNA", at positions 18 to 635 of the family's 3401-position model. Lineage: Eukaryota; Fungi; Neocallimastigomycota; Neocallimastigomycetes; Neocallimastigales. The record is from RNAcentral.